This is an RNA transcript of Boleophthalmus pectinirostris (great blue-spotted mudskipper), 3508 nucleotides long. It is a transcript of the gene named spermidine/spermine N1-acetyltransferase family member 2b, with no coding region annotated. The transcript is spliced from 8 exons. Lineage: Eukaryota; Metazoa; Chordata; Actinopteri; Gobiiformes; Gobiidae. The record is from RefSeq and is a predicted model, not a curated record.
AUUUCUUGCCGUAGUUUGCAGUCUUCACUUUUCUUCUCGUUUCGGUCUGAAUUACCUGAACGUUUAGAAGAUAUAACGCUAUAAGAAAGCAAGUGGACAAAUAUGAAUUAUAAAAUACGAGCUGCAAGAAAAGAAGACUGCAAAGACAUUGCACGAAUGAUCAUGGAGCUGGCCGUUUUUGAAAAAAUGCCAGACCAAGUAAAGAUUUCUUACCAAGAGCUGGAACGUGAUGGUUUCUGUCAAAAUCCUUUUUUUGAAUGUCUCCUUGCUGAGGUGUCUGAUGAGCAGAUAUCUAAAUGUGGUCACACAGUAGUUGGAUAUGCGCUUUACUUUUACACUUACAGUACAUGGAAGGGAAGAACAGUUUACAUUGAAGACCUCUAUGUGAUGCCUGAAUUCAGAGGUAAUGGCAUUGGCAAAAGCCUGAUGAGCAAAGUGGCAAAGAUUGCAGUAGAGAAGCAAUGUGUGCGUCUCCAGCUGUCUGUUUUAGACUGGAAUUCUCAAGCCCGAGAUUUCUACGCCGCUAAAGGGGCGGAGGACCUCACUGAUAGCCAAGGAUGGCACUUUAUACGAUUUGAUGGCUUAAGUCUUGAUAACUUGGUGAAGGAAGCUCCUCAAGAUUAAGCUGUUGCUGGGCACAGACUGAGAUGGUGCCGUAACUGAAAAGACAUGGCCUCUAGAGGAUGGCUGGAGACAUGCCCCUCCACAAAUGGCCAGUGUUGCUGAAGACCAACCAAUGUACAGGGCCUCUCCAAUCUCAUACCUAGGGAUUUAGAAGGUAAUUUAGCGACUUUAUGAAUAUAAUGUAUUAGUAUGAUUUGACGUACUUUGUCCCUGGAUAGAACUGGUCAAAAAACUGCUGUGUGAUGUUGGCUGCAUACCAGGACACAGCAAUCAUGGUGCAAAUUCCUAAAAAAAAAACAAAAAAAACAAAGCAAUAAAAUUAGAAUUAGCAACUCACUUUGGGAUUCACCAUAUUUUCUUAAAUAAGAAAAUAUGGUGAAUCCAUUGGUGACCCAUGUUUCAUUCUCCUGGCACUAAGUCAACUUUCUUCAAUCAUGUCAAUAAUACUUGUAUUAAUAUGAAGUGUUACUGUUUAUGUUUAACUUCAUUAGUAACAAUUUCUUCCAUUCAAACUACUCAUUAUAGAUAAAUAUAUAUCAUGUAGUUUAUAAUCAAAUAGACCAAUGUAAACAUGGGUUGGUGUAGGCUUUUGUGUCACAGCUCAGUUAGAUAAUCCUGUGAACAAGUGACUCAUUCAGUGAUAGCUUUUGUAAACACAGAGUUUCAGACCUAAGUGUUUUUACAUCAACCGAGACUGCACUGAAAUACUGUAGAUGAAAUGAUUUUUUUAAGUAAGAGUGAGACUUUACUAUGUGCCCAACCGAUUCAAUCCCUAAUGUUAAGAUAUUGUUGUAUUUACCUUGCAAUAGAAAGAACACUCCUCCUAUGGCAGCAAUCCUUCCUUUUAGGACAUAGUUUUCUCCUCCGAUUUUUGAACACUGCAUUCCAACCAGAGUCGCUACAAGACCAAAUGUCCCGAAGACGAUGGAUGCAAUCAUGAGAGCCCGUGAGGCCUGGAUGUACCCUGCACACAGACAUAGCAGUAACACGUUAAGGUUAGGGUUAGUUUUAACUUACCUGUUUCAGUAAGUACUAUUGUAAAAGUAUAGAAAAACAGUAUCUCUCAAGAAUACAUUCAGUAUAACGUUGUGUACAAGAUAGCUACUUGGACCUUUUCAAAAACAUAACCCUUGCAUUUUACAAUCAAAUAAAAAUAAAAUGACUGUUGAUAAGAGAGAAGUUCUUUUAUAUUCUCAGUUAUCAUCUUAAAAGAGACCCUGGUCUCAUUCUUAUAAGUCAGUCUUAUCAACUGUUAUCUAUUUAUUAUGACUAUUAUAGUCUAUUAUACUAUUAUGAAUCAUACUGCACUCAGCUUAAAUAUAUCUAAAAUAAUCAACAAACAAACAGAUAUAAGGCAAUGUCCACCGAUAUCUGACCAGAAGUGAACAAGCAACUUGGAUGAGCGGCAAAAUGCCUUCACCAUAAAACUUUUGUCCAGUUGACAGAAUUUUAUUUAUUUAUUUUUUUAAACAAGUUAUGCUAUUUUGUUCCACCUUGUUGACAACAACAGCAUUAUUCCGCUGCAAUCAUCAGUGGCAUGUUUAUCACCAGUCUUUUGGCUUGGAGCCUGAUUAGUAGCUAUUAAUAAAUAAAUAAACUCACUAUAUCACUGAAGCACAUACCAUUCAGUGCCAGUAAUGAUGGAAAGUCACGGCAGUUGUGGACUCCUGUCGAGUCUGUGGCACAGGACAUCCAGAGGUUCUCGUAGAUGGUGGAUGUGGUGAUAACAUUACCCUCCACUGUGGACACCUUCCAGUUUCGAUUAGACAGAGCAAUCCCAACCAUCAGCCAGCCCAGAAAACCAAGAAAGAAUGCAAACACCUCCACUAUGGCAUUCAUUUUUGCCUAAUUUUACACUCCAAGUUAAAAAGAAAGUUUUACAGACUCAAACAGCCCUUCUGUGUGAAUUCAGUCUCUGACCUAUUUGUUUGGCAGUGCAGUGUCGGAGUGCUUCUCCCAUCCCCAGAAACAGUCCUCUGAAACCUGAGAUCAAUGAUUAAUGCCAACUUAUAAUUUCCCCAUUAUUCUCCUCUCUAUUCAGCCUCUUUCAAGACUAAACGAAUGUUUGCUUAACUUGAGAGACAACAGAAAAAUCCAACCUUUGCACUGGCGUCUAUAUACCCAAAGUCAUUAGUCACAUCCUGACACCUGCUUUGAACAGUCUGUCAAGAUUAUCAAACUCUUAUUGAUGAGAUGCAGGUCUCGUGUGCUCCUCAUUACACAGGGGGCUGAUGGGAAACGUCUCAGCGUGAGGCUGCAGAGUGACUGACCUGCAGAUGACCAGCUUCACAGAUAAAACUAUUUGCCUCUCACAGCCAUGCCCUAACAGCAACUAUCACUGUACCUUUACUCAAUAAAGCUCAAUGCAAUAUGCCAUGAGAAAAUCCUCAAUCAAAAAUACUCAAAGUAAUGAGCAUAUGAUGCGUCACAGUCCUUAACAGCAUGUCUUUAACAGUAUUUAUUUGCUGCAAGUUGCAAUAAAGCAUUAAUUUUAAACUGUAUUUAGAAAUUGUAUUCUUUCCAUUUCAUUACUAAAUUACCAGUGAUACUUGUAAUGUUGUAUUUAUUUUUCUCAAGGAGGCUUGUAAAAAUGAUUAUCACUCUGGUGUUCCUGAAUAUUAUGAUCUGUGCAAUUGCUUUACUAAUUACAAAUCUGUUUGGGAAGAAUACUCUGAAAAUGUAUUUACAGAAUUACAGUUACAGAAUACAGAAUACCUGCAUUAAAAUGUAUUUUAUAAUGUAUUCUCAUACAUGUUUCAGUCAGAGUAUUCAGAAUACUUUUACAUUAAGUUUCAUUGAUUCAUUUUGAAUAUAUUUUCUGGUAGAUGUAUUUCCUGCCUUAUGUUAUGUCAACUGUGCCCAUCCAGAGAAUCUUAUGUAUAUG